GAAAUAUCCUCAUUCUAUAGGGCUAUUGUAAAUUGACGAUGAUGACGAGACAAAAAAAGGAAUUUGUAUCUAAAAACUGCGUGAUAUAUGCAAUUGCAGCGUUGAUAAUUGGAGUGGUUAUUUGUUUUAUCUUUACUGAAUUCGAUGGCAUUAUUCCUGAACAACAUUUUGAUGGUGCAUCUAACCUGAAAGCAUGUUUGGAUGACUGCAGGAAACGGUUUCGACAAAAUCGAAGAAAGCUAUAUGAUUGCGUUCAUGAUUGCUAUCAUGAGUACAAUUGAUACUUUAGUAACGGUAAACGUUUAAGUUACUAUUAAUCUUUUUUUAGAGGUUUAUUUUAUUAUUAUUUUAAUAAUCAUGGUACUUAAAAGUAGUCCUUAAUCAUCUAUCAAAUAAAUACUUGAAAAGUUUCUUUUAGUUUUGAAUCUUUUUUAUUGCUGCA
Molecule: long non-coding RNA, 442 nt
Filed under: Arachis ipaensis
Lineage: Eukaryota; Viridiplantae; Streptophyta; Magnoliopsida; Fabales; Fabaceae
Description: long non-coding RNA (AIPA_LNC000741)
Source: RNAcentral